CCUACGGGUGGCAGCAGUGGGGAAUAUUGCACAAUGGGGGAAACCCUGAUGCAGCGACGCCGCGUGAGUGAAGAAGGAUUUCGGUAUGUAAAGCUCUAUCAGCAGGGAAGAAAAUGACGGCACGUGUGUAAGAAGCCCCGGCUAACUACGUGACAGCAGCCGCGGUAAUACGUAGGGGGCAAGCGUUAUCCGGAUUUACUGGGUGUAAAGGGAGCGUAGACGGGAGUACAAGUCUGGAGUGAAAUGCCGGGGCUUAACCCCGGAACUGCUGUGGAAACUGUGCAGCUAGAGUGCAGGAGAGGUAAGUGGAAUUCCUGGUGUAGCGGUGAAAUGCGUAGAUAUUAGGAAGAACGCCGGUGGCGAAGGCAGCUUACUGGACUGUAACUGACGUUGAGGCUCGAAAGCGUGGGGAGCGAACAGGAUUAGAUACCCGAGUAGUC
RNAcentral lists this ribosomal RNA (440 nucleotides) under uncultured bacterium. RNAcentral describes it as "partial 16S ribosomal RNA". It matches the Rfam family "Bacterial small subunit ribosomal RNA", at positions 338 to 795 of the family's 1533-position model. The record is from RNAcentral.